Molecule: long non-coding RNA, 414 nt
Filed under: Actinidia chinensis (golden kiwifruit)
Lineage: Eukaryota; Viridiplantae; Streptophyta; Magnoliopsida; Ericales; Actinidiaceae
Description: long non-coding RNA (ACHI_LNC002048)
Source: RNAcentral
UCUUUUAGUAGCUCUCUACCAUCCGUGAAGCAAGAAGGGAAAGAAGUUAUGAUAAUUAGUGGUUUUGUUGGAAAUUUGAAGCACAAUGCUCUAUUGCUCUGGUACCACUGCUUUAGAGGAUGUUCAGUUUUUGGUGAACAGAUAGGAAUUGGCCAUGGAGAGGAUCGUACAAGUGAACAAGAUGGUGUGUAUGCAAUGUUGAACUUAAAUCUCGAGUUUACAUUAAUUCCAACGAUAUGUGCAAUAGCCAACUUAAAGACAAGAUAGUGUGUAUGCAUAUGUUGAUAGUAGAUACAGAAAUGCUAUGUACCCGUAAGGUAUCUAAAAGAUGUCUUAGAAAACAAGUACGUAGGGUACAUUCAAGUUUGAUAUGGUGUGGAUCACAUUGAGGCAUUUAAGCAUGGAGCUGAUUUU